CUAGAAUCUUGGUGUGCUUGCAGGCUUUGAAGAACAAGCUGCCAUGAAUCCUGCAGCUACAAGGAAAUGAACUCUAUUAACUUGAGUGAGCUUAAAACUAGAUCCUUCCCCAGUCAAGCCUCCAGGUGAGAAUUCAAUCCUGGCUGGCACCUGGAUUGCAGCUUACAGAAGACCCAGCUAAGGCCAUGUCUGGACUUUAAAUCCACAGGAACUGCAAGAUGGUAUCAGAAGUGGGACCUGCAGUGGGGCAUCUAGCAACCCCCAGGAGCAUUGAGUGACCAGGCUUGGGACCCACCGGGCGCAGGGUGUCCAUUGUUCUCUCGAAGCAACUGAGAAUUGUGGAUAUUCUUCAUUAUUCCAUCAUCAUCUCAAACCUCUUGGGUAUAGUGUUUGACUACUACUGUGACCAUAAAUUCCAAUAAAACCUAGGAAAAAUGAAACCACUACAUUAACUGAAAGGUGGGAUGAAAUCUGAAGAAUUCUAUUCUAACAUCUUGCUGAUGUUUAUCUGAUCAUCUUUUGCCAUCAGAUGUGCCUGUCACAGUCUCCACCAGAAGCUUUAUCUUACUACAGAGUCCAGAUGCAUUAAGGCUGUGUUCGAGCCAUGAUCUUCCUCUGAAGAAGAAAUGAAGAAGAAAUUUAUCUUAUUUUUGGAUAUAGUGUUCUUAGUUGGCAGUUUAAUUAUUAUUUUUACUUCAUCACUUUGUAUACGUCAUCGCACUUUCUCCUGGCCUAUAAGAUCUCUCCUGAGAAAUUUUACGUUCUACUUUACUGGAACUUCAUUAAAUAUUAUUUGCAUCAUUUUUCUCAUUG
Molecule: long non-coding RNA, 813 nt
Filed under: Homo sapiens (human)
Lineage: Eukaryota; Metazoa; Chordata; Mammalia; Primates; Hominidae
Description: HSALNT0347235
Source: RNAcentral